UUCCUACGGGAGGCAGCAGUAGGGAAUAUUGCUCAAUGGGGGAAACCCUGAAGCAGCAACGCCGCGUGGAGGAUGAAGGUUUUCGGAUUGUAAACUCCUUUUGUUAGAGAAGAUAAUGACGGUAUCUAACGAAUAAGCACCGGCUAACUCCGUGCCAGCAGCCGCGGUAAUACGGAGGGGGCAAGCGUUACUCGGAAUCACUGGGCGGAAAGAGCGCGUAGGCGGGAUAGCAAGGCAGAUGUGAAAUCCUAUGGCUUAAACAUAGAACUGCAUUUGAAACUGUUGGUCUAGAGGAUGGGAGAGGG
Molecule: ribosomal RNA, 305 nt
Filed under: uncultured bacterium
Lineage: Bacteria
Description: bacterial SSU rRNA
Rfam family: Bacterial small subunit ribosomal RNA
Source: RNAcentral